CUUUGUCUCCCCUGUGGCAAC
This 21-nucleotide microRNA is filed under the name Marchantia polymorpha subsp. ruderalis. Lineage: Eukaryota; Viridiplantae; Streptophyta; Marchantiopsida; Marchantiales; Marchantiaceae. The record is from RNAcentral.